AUGUUGGUGAAGCUGAUAAAUGGGCGAUGGGAGGUGACGCACUUUGUUCGUGACCACAAUCAUCCGCUGGUGAACAAACCUUCAUUGUCCAAAUACUUGAGAUCCCACCAAGGCAUCUCACCUGAUGAAAAGGAGUUUUUGCGCAUCUUGUAUAACUACAACUUGACUACAGGACGUAUGAUGCAUAUAAUGGCAGAGUUCUACGGAUCUGAGAUGAUGGUGUCGUUCGGACCAAAGGCAAUAACAAAUUUGUGUAUAAGUUUUCAUAGAGAUGACACAAAGGAGGGUGACAUGAUUGAGACAAUUGCGCACUUCAAGGAUACACAGAAAAUUGAUCCAGACUUCUUCUAUAAGGUAAAAUAUGAUGAAAAGGACAGAGUUGUCAACAUAUUUUGGGUGGAUGGCUUAGCUCGAAAAGCUUAUGUUGAGGCGUACCACGAUUGCAUAUCGUUUGACACUACCUACAUGAGCAACAUGUAUAAUAUGCCGUUCGCACCCUUCAUUGAAAUAAACCGACAUGGCCAAUCUUUCAUGCUCGGUUGCGCGUUUGUA
This 552-nucleotide ribosomal RNA is filed under the name Triticum aestivum (bread wheat). Its description in RNAcentral is "partial small subunit ribosomal RNA". Lineage: Eukaryota; Viridiplantae; Streptophyta; Magnoliopsida; Poales; Poaceae. The record is from RNAcentral.